CAGCACCUUCGGGUGCUGAGCCGAGCGGCGGACGGGUGAGGAACACGUGAGCAACCUGUCUCUGUGCGGGGGACAACCCGGGGAAACUCGGGCUAAUACCGCAUGGUCCCACGCCCCGCCUGGGGUGUGGGGGAAAGGUGGCCUCUUCAUGAAAGCUACCGUGCAGAGAGGGGCUCGCGGCCUAUCAGCUUGUUGGUGAGGUAGCGGCUCACCAAGGCGACGAUGGGUAGCCGGCCUGAGAGGGUGAUCGGCCACACUGGGACUGAGACACGGCCCAGACUCCUACGGGAGGCAGCAGUGGGGAAUCUUCCGCAAUGGACGAAAGUCUGACGGAGCAACGCCGCGUGAGUGAAGAAGGUUUUCGGAUCGUAAAGCUCUGUCUUAAGGGAAGAACGGGUCAGGGAGGAAAUGCCUUGGCAAUGACGGUACCUUAAGAGGAAGCCCCGGCUAACUACGUGCCAGCAGCCGCGGUAAUACGUAGGGGGCGAGCGUUGUCCGGAAUUACUGGGCGUAAAGCGCAUGUAGGCGGCCUGUUAAGUCAGGUGUGAAAACUGACGGCUCAACCGUGAGAUUGCACAUGAAACUGGCAGGCUUGAGGGCAGGAGAGGAGAGCGGAAUUCCUAGUGUAGCGGUGAAAUGCGUAGAUAUUAGGAGGAACACCAGUGGCGAAGGCGGCUCUCUGGACUGAACCUGACGCUGAGGUGCGAAAGCUAGGGUAGCGAACGGGAUUAGAUACCCCGGUAGUCCUAGCCGUAAACGAUGGGCACUAGGUGUAGGAGGUAUCGACCCCUUCUGUGCCGGAGCAAACGCAAUAAGUGCCCCGCCUGGGGAGUACGGCCGCAAGGCUGAAACUCAAAGGAAUUGACGGGGGCCCGCACAAGCAGUGGAGCAUGUGGUUUAAUUCGACGCAACGCGAAGAACCUUACCAGGGUUUGACAUCUUCUUAAGGCUGCAGAGAUGUAGCCAACCGGCCUUGGUCGGAGAGAAAGACAGGCGGUGCAUGGUUGUCGUCAGCUCGUGUCGUGAGAUGUUGGGUUAAGUCCCGCAACGGCGCAACCCCUGUACUUUGUUGCUAACGAGUAGAGUUGAGCACUCAAAGUAGACUGCCGGAGACAAUUCGGAGGAAGGUGGGGACGACGUCAAAUCAUCAUGCCCUUUAUGCCCUGGGCUACACACGUGCUACAAUGGUCUGAACAACGGGAAGCGACGGGGCGACCCUGAGCCAAUCCUUCAAAGCAGGCCUCAGUUCGGAUUGCAGGCUGCAACCCGCCUGCAUGAAGCUGGAAUUGCUAGUAAUCGCGGAUCAGCAUGCCGCGGU
RNAcentral lists this ribosomal RNA (1318 nucleotides) under uncultured bacterium. RNAcentral's name for it is "bacterial SSU rRNA". It matches the Rfam family "Bacterial small subunit ribosomal RNA", at positions 72 to 1363 of the family's 1533-position model. The record is from RNAcentral.